RNAcentral lists this ribosomal RNA (468 nucleotides) under uncultured bacterium. Its description in RNAcentral is "partial 16S ribosomal RNA". It matches the Rfam family "Bacterial small subunit ribosomal RNA", at positions 28 to 507 of the family's 1533-position model. The record is from RNAcentral.
GACGAACGCUGGCGGCGUGCUUAACACAUGCAAGUCGAACGGAAAGGCCCUGCUUUUGUGGGGUUCUCGAGCGGCGAACGGGUGAGUAACACGUGAGUAACCUGCCCUUGACUUUGGGAUAACUUCAGGAAACUGGGGCUAAUACCGGAUAGGAGCUCCUGCUGCAUGGUGGGGGUUGGAAAGUUUCGGCGGUUGGGGAUGGACUCGCGGCUUAUCAGCUUGUUGGUGGGGUAGUGGCUUACCAAGGCUUUGACGGGUAGCCGGCCUGAGAGGGUGACCGGCCACAUUGGGACUGAGAUACGGACCAGACUCCUACGGGAGGCAGCAGUGGGGAAUAUUGCACAAUGGGCGGAAGCCUGAUGCAGCAACGCCGCGUGCGGGAUGACGGCCUUCGGGUUGUAAACCGCUUUCGCCUGUGACGAAGCGUGAGUGACGGUAAUGGGUAAAGAAGCACCGGCUAACUACGUG